Molecule: ribosomal RNA, 253 nt
Filed under: uncultured bacterium
Lineage: Bacteria
Description: partial 16S ribosomal RNA
Rfam family: Bacterial small subunit ribosomal RNA
Source: RNAcentral
GACGUAGGGUGCGAGCGUUGUCCGGAUUUAUUGGGCGUAAAGCGCUCGCAGGUGGUCCGUCGCGUCGUGCGUGAAAUACCCCGGCUCAACUGGGGGGGGUCGUGCGAUACGGGCGGACUGGAGGCCAGUAGGGGGAUGCGGAAUUCCGGGUGUAGUGGUGGAAUGCGUAGAGAUCCGGAGGAACACCAGCGGCGAAGGCGGCAUCCUGGACUGGUCCUGACACUCAGGAGCGAAAGCGUGGGGAGCGAUCCGG